This 497-nucleotide ribosomal RNA is filed under the name uncultured bacterium. RNAcentral's name for it is "partial 16S ribosomal RNA". It matches the Rfam family "Bacterial small subunit ribosomal RNA", at positions 28 to 507 of the family's 1533-position model. The record is from RNAcentral.
GAUGAACGCUGGCGGCGUGCCUAAUACAUGCAAGUCGAGCGAACAGACGAGGAGCUUGCUCCUCUGACGUUAGCGGCGGACGGGUGAGUAACACGUGGAUAACCUACCUAUAAGACUGGGAUAACUUCGGGAAACCGGAGCUAAUACCGGAUAAUCUAUUGAACCGCAUGGUGCGAUAGUGAAAGACGGUUUUGCUGUCUCUUAUAGAUGGAUCCGCGCCGCAUUAGCUAGUUGGUAAGGUAACGGCUUACCAAGGCAACGAUGCGUAACCGACCUGAGAGGGUGAUCGGCCACACUGGAACUGAGACACGGUCCAGACUCCUACGGGAGGCAGCAGUAGGGAAUCUUCCGCAGUGGGGGAAAGCCUGACGGAGCAACGCCGCGUGAGUGAUGAAGGUCUUCGGAUCGUAAAACUCUGUUAUUGGGGAAGAACAAAUGUGUAAGUAACUAUGCACGUCUUGACGGUACCGAAUCAGAAAGCCACGGCUAACUACGUG